UACGUAGGGUGCAAGCGUUGUCCGGAAUUAUUGGGCGUAAAGAGCUCGUAGGCGGUCUGUCGCGUCGGCUGUGAAAACUCGGGGCUCAACUCCGAGCCUGCAGUCGAUACGGGCAGACUAGAGUGCGGUAGGGGAGACUGGAAUUCCUGGUGUAGCGGUGAAAUGCGCAGAUAUCAGGAGGAACACCGGUGGCGAAGGCGGGUCUCUGGGCCGUAACUGACGCUGAGGAGCGAAAGCGUGGGGAGCGAACAGG
Molecule: ribosomal RNA, 253 nt
Filed under: uncultured bacterium
Lineage: Bacteria
Description: partial 16S ribosomal RNA
Rfam family: Bacterial small subunit ribosomal RNA
Source: RNAcentral